Molecule: long non-coding RNA, 634 nt
Organism: Falco peregrinus (peregrine falcon)
Lineage: Eukaryota; Metazoa; Chordata; Aves; Falconiformes; Falconidae
Exons: 5
Source: RefSeq, a predicted model, not a curated record
GGAGGAGCUGUGGCGGGAAAACGCCGGAGUGAGGGGAAGGCGCCAUUUUCACUGGAUGCACGGGCGAUCCUUCUGCCUAACGCGCAUGACUAAAGUGUAGGAGCGACUCCGGCUGCUGCAGUCUAGUGGUUAAAGCAGGAACCACCUGUGAGGAGAGGCACAAACCUUUGAGCGUUCGGUUAUUACUACAUAAAAAUGCUCGGAAUCCUGCUCCUCCUCCGGCACCGUACCCGGUUGACGGCUCCCGGCGUUCCGGCGGCGAAGAUGGAGCGAUGGUGGCCGAUGACGACGACGAUGACAGCGUUCGGCUGGGCUGGCGCUGCGCUUUUAUAGCGUAAUGCACCAAAAUAAAACCCCGGCAGGUCCCACCCAGGAAUUAGCCAGGGAAAUUUAUAUUACGAAGGCGUGAUUUACGCCGGUGGAACCUAAACAAGAAAUUUGACGGGGGAAAGCCGUUAGCUGCGUGACGAUGUAAAUCGGAUGGGGUUUACGGUCGCUGUCUCUCCUUUCGCUCCGUCAGUGCUACUUUUGGUGUCCCGUGCGUGUGUUCUUUGUCCUGGUGACACGGUCCUGAGUGAAUUAAAAGUAAUUGAGAGCCUUUUAUUGGUUUAUCUUCCCUGGCUAUAAAAAUAAU